GGAGUUUGGGCCGUGUCUCAGUCCCAAUGUGGCCGGUCACCCUCUCAGGUCGGCUACUGAUCGUCGCCUUGGUGGGCCGUUACCUCACCAACUAGCUAAUCAGACGCGGGCCCAUCCCAUACCACCGGAGUUUUUCACACUGUACCAUGCGGUACCGUGCGCUUAUGCGGUAUUGUCAGCCGUUUCCAGCUGUUAUCCCCCUGUAUGGGGCAGGUUGCCCACGCGUUACUCACCCGUCCGCCACUCGGUUAAGCUUCGUCACCCCGAAGGGAUCGUGAAAAAUAACCUCGUUCGACUUGCAUGUGUUAAGCACGCCGCCAGCGUUCAUC
Molecule: ribosomal RNA, 329 nt
Filed under: uncultured Lachnospiraceae bacterium
Lineage: Bacteria; Bacillati; Bacillota; Clostridia; Lachnospirales; Lachnospiraceae
Description: partial 16S ribosomal RNA
Source: RNAcentral